This 108-nucleotide ribosomal RNA is filed under the name Candidatus Rifleibacteriota bacterium. The record is from RNAcentral. Lineage: Bacteria; Candidatus Rifleibacteriota.
UAUUGUCUUGAGGAAACACCUGAUCCCUUUCCGAACUCAGCAGUUAAGCUCAAAGACGCCAAUGGUACUGCGGGGGUGACUCCGUGGGAGAGUAGGUCGCCGCCAACA